Molecule: long non-coding RNA, 4211 nt
Organism: Dreissena polymorpha
Lineage: Eukaryota; Metazoa; Mollusca; Bivalvia; Myida; Dreissenidae
Exons: 2
Source: RefSeq, a predicted model, not a curated record
UAUAUAUAUAUAUAUAUAUAUAUAUAUAUAUAAUAUAAUCAUCAAGAAAGUAAUUUUGACUUUGACCAACCUUGGCUUAAUUGUGGAAAAAAGGCAAUGAGGUUGAAUGGUCCCGUUGUUUAAAUUCUAUGGACAUAUUUGUUUCUUUGUCUUUUUGUCCACUGAGUAGUGGUUUUGUUAAUGUCCAAACAUUUGUGUUGAGGGCAUCAGUGGAAGUGACACAAUUUUGUUUAGAUUUACAUAGAGCUGAACAUUGUGACUGAUUAUUUCACUAUGUGCCCAUGAUGAGCUUUAAGGAUACCAUGAUGUUAGUCGUGUUUCUGUGUGUCUGUAAAUGUUUUCUUUAAACAACAUAAACUUCUGAAUCACAUGUCAGAAUUAGAUAAAAAUUGUUUGAAUUGUUCUGGUUCUGGGUUAUGGGUUUCAAAAUUGAAACUUAACUGUGGACCUAGAUAUUUGGUAUGUAGCAUUAAAUAGCGUUCACAUUUGGGUAGUGUCAUAAUCUACAUGUCCUCUGUACAAUUAAUCCAAAUCAUUGCCCUGGUGUCAAAACAUGCCUUGCCCUGUGUGUUGCCAGUUUUACAUAGACUAAGACUCUUGCAGUGCUUUCAUAUUUUGUAUUUUUACAAACUUUGCUCAAAUGAUGCCCCUUGGGUUGGAGCCGAUCACAUUCCAGGGGUCACAUUUUCAUUUGGAAAUAUAGCAAAAUAUCUCUUACAAUCUCAGCAACAACAGAGGUCAGACCUUUCAUAUUAAUACACAUGUAUUAAGCAUCAGAUAGUGGUCCUCUACAAAGUUUGUUUAAAUUAUACCCCUGAGGUAAAAGCUGGCAUUGGUUUCACACUUUUAAUAUUGACGUAACCAGCAAACUAACUGACAAGGCUAUAGAUAACUUUUAUGGUAUAUUGAGUUUUUCACCCUCUGUUUUGACAACAAUAGGAUUUUUGUAAAUUCAAUAGAGUUUUAGCAAAAAAAUUUACCACCUACUUUUGAGCUUAAUUGGGUUUUUCACCCCUGGUUUUUUAACUCGAUUGGGUAAUUUAGGGAAUGACAUAAUAUAAUAUAAUAAAAAUCUACUAAGGUUACUAUAAUUGUAAUACAAAUGGAAUUCAAAAAGGUACCUGUACAUAACAAAAAACAAUUACUUUAUUUCUGAUCCAAGUUCAUUCAUUUUUGCGUUGGAUAAGACCGAGUUCGUACAAAUCGCGGCACAAUUGAUAAAAUUAUGGCUGUUCAAAGCGAUGCACCCCGUUUGCGGGUCAUUUUGAGUUGAAUACAUGUACAUUGGAAAUGAAAGAAGAAAUCGGACGGGUCUACGAAUAAUUACAAUAAUACCCCAAAGAUCGAUAACCGCUGGAAAGACUGCCUUCUUUUCUCCAAAGGACGGCAUAUAAACUAUCCAGUACAUUUUUGUACGGAAAAAAAAUUGUCUUAAAAAUACACCCGGUUUUCGUAAGAAAUGCGUUUCAAGACGCAAUGUUUUUUUUAGGGAAUUACGUUAUAAAAUUUUUAUUUGCGUUUUUGUACUCUUUAUUUUUAAUUUAAUUACGUUUUUGGUUAUUUUAAUUGCGUAAUAAAGCAAAUACGCUUUUUAUCUAUAGCCCUGACUGAUUUUUUUCUCUAUUUAAAGUCCAAAGCCCAUAGAUGUAAUAUUUGAUAGGUAAUAUGACAUGAGAUAGUGGUCCUUAAUUUUAUUCAAAAUAUGCCUCAGUGGUGAAAAUAAGUCUCACUAAUUUUUGUGACACGUUUCAUACAGACUUAUAUAAGAUAUGUUCAAAUUAUGCCCUUUUCAUAACAAUUUGACAGUAGCCUCAGACCAGUGGUCUUGAGUACCACCAAGAUAUCUCAGAUGAGCUUUUAUUGAUCCUCUGGUUUUGUGUAACUGAUCGUCAUGUUUUGUUUAAUUAUACCCCCACAAACGAAGUUUAGGGGGGUAUAUAGGAGUGAAAUUGUCUGUCGGUCUGUCUGUCGGUCCGUAUUAAGUGUCCGCUCUCUAAUUCAAGUAGUUUUCAUCAGAUCUUCACCAAACUUGGUCAGAAGUUGUAUCUACAUGAUGUCUAGGCCAAGUUCGAACAUGGGCCUUGCCGGGUCAAAAACUAGGUCACGGGGUCACUUAGUGCGUUUUAAACAUUCAGCAUGUUUUCCAAUCUCUUAUUCAAGUAGUUUUCAUCCAAUCUUCACCAAACUUGGUCAGAAGUUGUAUCUAGAUGAUGUCUAGGCCAAGUUUGAACAUGGGCCUUGCCGGGUCAAAAACUAGGUGUAGGGGUCACUUAGUGCGUUUUAAACAUUCAUCAUGUUGUCCGCUCUCUAAUUCAAGUAGUUUUCAUCACCGAUCUUCACCAAACUUGGUCAGAAGUUGUAUCUACAUGAUUAUGUCUAGGCCAUGUUUGAACAUGGGCCUUGCCGGGUCUACAACUAGGUCACGAGGUCACUUAGUGCGUUUUUUAACAUUCAGCAUGGUGUCCGCUCUCUAAUUCAAGUAGUUUACAUAUGAUCUUCACCAAACUUGGUCAGAAGUUUUAUGGAGAUGAUCUUAAGGCCAAGUUAGAAGGUGGGCUUUUCUGGGUCAAAAACUAGGUCAAGGGGUUAUUUAGUGCAUUUUAAAAAUUGAGCAUGGUGUCUGCUGUUUUUUGUGAAGACGACAUGCAAAAUAUUAUGUGUCAAUGCGGCAUGUGGGGGUAUUUGUCACGUCUGUGACAAAGCUCUAGUUUAUUUUCUUGUUUUCUUGCUUUGUUUAUGUGAUCUUCUUAUUUUGUUAUAUUGUUUAAGUUAUCCUCUUGUUUUUGUAUUUUGGUACACUGGUUAAAUUAUAUGAAAAACACAUUUUCCAAAAUAGAUCAUUUUACAUGAUUUUUUUCAUGGUUUUCUUGAAUGGUCAAUAACAAUUUUUUGUGAGCAAAUACCAGAUACUUAAAUACCUGCUGAGUAUAAGAUCGGCAUAAAUGUGUAUAUAGCUCAAAUUUCUGUGAUAUAUUAAGAUGCAGAACAGCUGUCACUACAUGUUCUAUGCUUUCAAACAAUGUUUUUGUCAUUGAUCUCGUUGCAUGUUACUCAUUAUGUACUAAAUUGUGAUUGAGUUUUGUCUAUUUACUUGAAAGUUGAAAUAAACUGUUGGUACAUAUUUUGUUUUUUUCCUUGAUACUCACAUGUUAACAAUAAUUGUUGUUUGUAUUGAUAUUGCAAUAAGUAAAUACUAUUUAAUUCUUUUUUCACCUUUUUUUUACCUUGCUGCACUGCUUAAUUAUCAAAUUAAAUCAAGAUCUGGUUACUUAGUAUUUUGAUACUUUUAGUUAGGUUAUUUUAUUGACUGAUAUUUUGCCUUGGGUCCAUAUUUUAAAGAAGUACAUUAAAAUAUGACCCAUUUUAUGCGAAAAAAGGUUUUAUGCCUUAUGUGGCCGGCCAGCUCCUGACCAGAAUGCUCGAUUGUUGUAAACACCAUCAAUCAAAUAUUGUUUAUUACUGUUAAAUUUGUAACAACCAAGUAAACACAGAUGCAGAACUUUUGUUUCAUUUAUUUUCUUGUGAGAACUUUUAUUCCAGUUUUUAUUCAUCAAAAUGUUUUGCCUGUUUUAAAAAAAAAAAUAAGAUUAUAUAUUCUUGCUUUAAAUGCCAAAAAAAUCAAUGAAUAUUUAUUUGUAUGUGUUUAUUUAAAAAAUGGUUGAAUUUGAAUUGGUAACUACAACUACUACUACUACUACUACUACUACUACUACUACUACUACUACUACUACUACUACUACUACUACUACUACUACUGCUACUGCUACUACUAUUGCUGCUACUGCUACUAUGACUACGACGACGACUACCAGUACUGCUAUUUCUACAAACAACUAAUAAUAAUGUUGAAAAAUUAACCUACUUAAUUUUUAACAUUUAGUCAAAUUUUCGUUAUUUUUUUAAUAUCAUAGUGGCAUGAAAUGUUCUAUUUUGUCAAACUAAAUGAAAAUUUAGAUAUACAUCUAUUUUAUUCAAUUGUUUGUAACAAUUUGUUGAUUGAAAGAUUAAGUGAAGCAUUAUUUUCAGGUAUUUUACAUCAUAACUUUUCAAGUAAUUAUACUUAAAGACAUGUAUAUUGAUUUAGAUGUUGUUUUACCAUGUAGAUCUAGUAAAUGUAGCAAUUUAACUAUCUUAUUAACCAAGACUGUUUUUUAUUAUUCGUUGUGUUUUGAGUAGUAUAUUCUGAUAAAUAAAUAUACAGCAAAAUGCAA